Molecule: transfer RNA, 68 nt
Filed under: Ictidomys tridecemlineatus (thirteen-lined ground squirrel)
Lineage: Eukaryota; Metazoa; Chordata; Mammalia; Rodentia; Sciuridae
Description: Spermophilus tridecemlineatus (thirteen-lined ground squirrel) tRNA
Rfam family: tRNA
About the family: Transfer RNA (tRNA) molecules are approximately 80 nucleotides in length.
Source: Rfam by way of RNAcentral
GGGGUUGUGGCUCAGUGGUUGAGCGCUUGCCUUGCAUGCAUGAACACUGGGUUCGAUCCUCAGUACCA